AAAUCUUGGCUGGAAUCAAAUUACGGACGUCAAAGAUGGAUCGUUUGCAAAUCUCUACAAUUUGACAUAUUUAUAUCUUUACUACAAUCAAAUUCAAGACAUCAAAGCUGAAUGGUUUGCAAAUCUCUCCAAUUUGACAUAUUUAGAUCUUUCCUCCAAUCAAUUUAAAGACAUCAAAGAUGGAUGGUUUGCAAAUCUCUACAAUUUACAAACGUUGUAAGUUGCCUC
Molecule: long non-coding RNA, 228 nt
Organism: Octopus bimaculoides (California two-spot octopus)
Lineage: Eukaryota; Metazoa; Mollusca; Cephalopoda; Octopoda; Octopodidae
Source: RefSeq, a predicted model, not a curated record